RNAcentral lists this ribosomal RNA (253 nucleotides) under uncultured bacterium. RNAcentral's name for it is "partial 16S ribosomal RNA". It matches the Rfam family "Bacterial small subunit ribosomal RNA", at positions 524 to 776 of the family's 1533-position model. The record is from RNAcentral.
GACGUAGGUGGCGAACGUUAUCCGGAAUCACUGGGCGUAAAGCGCACGUAGGCGGCUUUCUAAGUCAGGGGUGAAAUCCUGGAGCUCAACUCCAGAACUGCCUUUGAUACUGGAGAGCUUGAGUCCGGAAGAGGUGAGUGGAACUCCGAGUGUAGAGGUGAAAUUCGUAGAUAUUCGGAAGAACACCAGUGGCGAAGGCGGCUCACUGGUCCGGUACUGACGCUGAGGUGCGAAAGCGUGGGGAGCAAACAGG